CUGGUUUUGUUUCUAAUUUACAGCAUGUUGAGAAUGCAGAGCUAUUGGCUGCCCCAAAAUUCAGUUAACUGCUUAGUAAAAUGUACUUUAAAAUACAUUAGAAAAUUAUUUAUUACUUACAGAAUUUACAAAAAUUGUUCAAAACAUAGAACCUCUAUGUUGAAUAUGAAACUCACAGUGCUGUGAUACCUAUGUCUGAAUUGACUGACCAGUUUAAAUCUAAGCAUCUCAUUAAUUCAAGAUACUGUCUUAGGUUAGUGGACUUCUGGCCACACUGUAUAUUUAAUGUGGUAUGAAUUUCAGCAUUCCUGCCAAGAGUCAAGCUAGUUCUUACCACAACUCUAUCCUGCUAACACUGCAGAUUUGACAGAAGUUAGUGUACUGCAGUCACCAGAUCAUAUGAGCUCUCUUUCAAGUGCAAGAGGAAUGCUGGCUGCCAUGAUGCAGAGUGCUUGUGCUGCUUCAUUCAUUUAACAGGACUGAGCAACGGAGCUUUGAGUCAGUGUUUCUGUUAGGUAGAUAACAGAAGAACCAACACAGACAGUAUACAACGAACUAUUGAAGGAACACAUUUCUUAGACAUUUGUAGCUGUUAACAGAUUAAGAAGAGCAGCAAACAUGUUUU
Molecule: long non-coding RNA, 625 nt
Organism: Cryptotermes secundus
Lineage: Eukaryota; Metazoa; Arthropoda; Insecta; Blattodea; Kalotermitidae
Exons: 2
Source: RefSeq, a predicted model, not a curated record